Molecule: ribosomal RNA, 433 nt
Filed under: uncultured bacterium
Lineage: Bacteria
Description: partial 16S ribosomal RNA
Rfam family: Bacterial small subunit ribosomal RNA
Source: RNAcentral
AACGUACGCUGGCGGCAUGCCUAACACAUGCAAGUCGAACGAGACCUUCGGGUCUAGUGGCGCACGGGUGCGUAACGCGUGGGAACCUGCCCUUAGGUUCGGAAUAACUCCCCGAAAGGGGUGCUAAUACCGGAUAAUGUCUUCGGACCAAAGAUUUAUCGCCUUUGGAUGGGCCCGCGUUGGAUUAGCUAGUUGGUAGGGUAAAAGCCUACCAAGGCGACGAUCCAUAGCUGGUCUGUGAGGAUGAUCAGCCACACUGGGACUGAGACACGGCCCAGACUCCUACGGGAGGCAGCAGUGGGGAAUAUUGGACAAUGGGCGAAAGCCUGAUCCAGCAAUGCCGCGUGAGUGAUGAAGGCCUUAGGGUUGUAAAGCUCUUUUACCCGGGAUGAUAAUGACAGUACCGGGAGAAUAAGCUCCGGCUAACUCCGUG